CCUUUUAUUAUGCAGAACCACUUACUGGAAAAUUCCCCAACCAAAUCUAAAAGCUUCCAAGUAAAAUCAAAUCCGAAAAUGAAAUUUAACAAAUAAAUGUUAUUCAGGGAGAUAAGUACAUAAUAUUAUCAAAAGAGUUAGAUAUUGUUACGAAAGAACCGAUGCAAUUACAAAGAAUCUUUAUUCUCAUAGAAGGGUCAUGCCUUAAACCCCCUGGAAAGAAAGAAUUAAAACUAACUUUUUGCAACAGAGGUUUAAUCAAGCAAAUAAAGUUAUUGCAAAUACAAAAGGCAAGAAAAUCAUUCAUUAGGAGCAGCAUACCUAUAUCAGGAACUCUAUUUGGAUAGAUCUUGAAAUAGAUAANNN
This 366-nucleotide long non-coding RNA is filed under the name Olea europaea (common olive). RNAcentral describes it as "long non-coding RNA (OEUR_LNC014939)". Lineage: Eukaryota; Viridiplantae; Streptophyta; Magnoliopsida; Lamiales; Oleaceae. The record is from RNAcentral.